Long non-coding RNA from Motacilla alba alba, 9305 nucleotides. RefSeq lists it as uncharacterized. The record is from RefSeq and is a predicted model, not a curated record. The transcript has 3 exons. NCBI's taxonomy places the organism in Eukaryota, Metazoa, Chordata, Aves, Passeriformes, Motacillidae.
AAAAAGGAGGUAACAGUAAGUCAAGAAGUUCACGGGGGAAAAAGGAGGUAACAGUAAGUCAAGAAGAAGAAGAAAAAGAAGAAGAAAAUGUCAGUGAAGAGAUCAACUGUCUUUCCUAAGCCACAUGUAAAAAAACCUCAAAGUAAUUUCAAGUCUAAAACAUGCCUGAACACAUAAGACUGCUAACUAAUAUGAUUGCUAACACUGGAAUUAGUUAUGUCCUGAUGAGACUUCCUAGAAAGAAUGGACUGCCAUGAAUUGUUCUAAUAAGUAUAUACGAAGUCUGAAAGGAUAAAGAAGGCUUGUCUAGAAUUCUUUUUUAUAUGUCUAGUCAUCACAGCAUUCUAUGAAAAUAGCAUUACGUGGGAUGAAGAAAGACUUGAAGAAACUGCAGCAUUACUAGAAGUUGUAGGCGAGAAAAUUUGGAGGAGAUUAUUAAUUUUCUGAGGAUUGUGAAAGUUCUGUCAUAUAUAUGUGUGUGCAUCUAAUACAUACAGGCGCAAAGCUGUACAUUGGAAGUGCAGUGCCCCAGGUCCAACCCCCGGUCAUCAUGGGGAUGAAAAUUAAUUUGCUGUGAAAUUAAAUUGGUAUGGGCAUGGGAGUAUGGACAUUAGGACUCCCUCAUUUUAUAGUUAUGGACUGCUAUGUGCAUUGAUUAAGCCUGAGGACAAUUGUUGUCUAAGGUGCAAUGGUUUUUGGGUUACCUGCUUUGCAUAUGUGGUGAGCCUGUGUCACAAUCAGCCAAGGAGCUGUGCUGAUAUGGGAGUCAUCACUCACCUUAAGCCCUAACCCUUUGCAGUAGCAGAUGAUAGCAGACUGCUUUCCUGGCAUCCUCCACCCCUCCAGCCCAGACUUACUCUACAGUUGCCACCUCCUGGCUUGCAACCUCUCCUGGUACCCUCGCGCCCAUCAGCUGCCCAUGCACAGGCUGAUGUCAUUGUCCUUCUCGCCAAUAUAAAAUUUGACAUGCAGUGCAUGGUCAUGCAGAUUGGUCACAGAUCUGAGAGCUUCCAAAACAGCAGAGAUGGAAAAGGUUCUGGGAAAAACUUAGCUCUGUUGGUUGGGAUUCAUGACUGUACCAGAGAAUGCCACAUUGCCCUGGGCAUGUUUAGGCUCCAUUUGGAAAUUACAUUCCUCACUUCCUUCUAUUCACCUUUGGUCAAAUACAGUCUGUCUCUUAAAUGUUUUAAGCAGGAGAUUUUUUAAAAAUAUAUUUAGAGUGUAUGUAGUCUAAUUUUUCUUUUCACAAUGCAGCAGGAAAAGGGAAGUACCUCCAAUGAGAUUGCAAUGCCAUCCACCUUCUUAAAAUGUUCUAUAUUAAAUUGAAUUAAAUCAAAAAUACCAUGCUUUGCCAAUAAGUUAUUAAAUGUCUGAAAAAGUAUAUGACAUUUUAAGGAAGCUGUUACAGACAAAAUCACACUGUACCUCAUAUUUCAAAGAUCUUUUAAAAAAGACCAAUUGUUCUGUCAGGUUCAUUGUGGAAAUCCAGAGCAACUCUGCCUAUUUCUCUGAGGCUAUUGCUGGGCCCCUCACUGGGGCUGGUUGAGCUGAUUAGAGCCCACAGGAGCCCCCUGUCAAACCCAAAAAGGACUGAAUUUCAGCUGUAGCAUAGUAAUAAAGUUAUUGGGUUGGUCAGGCAAGGACCUAAGGCUUUGUCCCCACAUGAGGACAGAAUUAGCCGGUAAUACAAUAUCCUCAUUAGUGCAUGUUAAUUUUGGUACUGCUAACCAAUACUAGGCCAGGGUAGCUCCAUUGCAAUUAUCUCUAUUUCCCUCCCCUCUGCAGAUGCUGAAAUUAGUUUCCCCAUCUGCCUCCCACUGCUCUCAGUCACAUUUUCUGGAACGUCACUGCAGCGGUUGCUGCUCUUUUCUUGCGCCUCUUUUUUUCUGAGAAACAUCACAUUUCUGGCAAAUUAUUGACAUCAUAGCUGGGUACCCAAGAGAUGCUGGUUCUGUUGGAGAGGACACACGAUAGCUUGAACAAAAAUUCUGAUGUGCACUUGUCUUCGCUAAAGUGCUAGAAAAUGUCUCUCCACAUCUGACCUACUGUAUCUAAACAUCAGUAAACUUGAUUAAAUUUUCUUUCCUUUGACUGAAAAACAGUGUGUAACUGUUUGGAGAUGUUGAUUUUACACAAAGGGGUUUUUCCCUUUUGUCUUAAGGGCUUUGUGCCUUCAGUAGUUUUAAACCGCAAAUUAAAAUGAAGAGCAAGUAUAUGAAAAGAUAACUCACUGGAGGUUAUGUGCACCUCUGAUCACACUCUCCAAAAAAAUAAGGUGAAAUAAUUGCAAAGGCCAGUAAGACAGUAUCACUCUUGAAUGUAUUCUCCCUGUUAAUUCCAUAGGGAGAUGUCACAAAUAGUCAGCAAUAUCUCAUUCUACGCUGCUCAUUCAGUUUCUCCAAACUCACAGAAGUGCUCUACAAAAUGUCCUAGGAAUGCAUCUUAUUAGUCUUAUGUAAGAAAUACAGGGUUUUUUUUUCCACAAAAAUGAGUGCAACAGGAAAAUGGAGUACACUAAAAAUAAUUUUUCAAUUGAAAAUUGAGGUACAAAGUAUAAAAAAAUAUUUCCAGAAUUAUAAAAGUGAGUAUUUGCUUAGAAAUAUUUCUGUAACUAAAUGUCAAAAUAUAAACAUGUAGAAAUUAAAAAUAAAGUCUUUUUUUCAGAGCACUGGAAGCUUUCAGUUCUUUGCUUCUUGAAAUAAUAGAAGAGCAGAUAGAGUUAGCAGACUGUUAUUCUUUACCUGAUCUGAAUAGGCAUGAGAUCCUGCCAUUGAACUUAGAUUUAAUGAGUCAAACAGUGUGGUAAGAUUCAGAAAUAUUGGAUUGCUUCUCAGAUUAAAAUGUGUUGAUUCUUCCUAUUCUUUGGUCAUUUUAAUAUUCUUAAGUAAGCACCUUAAAAUUAAAUAAAAAGCAGGACAGCAGACACUGCUCCAGAGUCAGGUCACUUUGGCAUCACUACACAGCCACUUUCUCUUCCUAGAUAUUUUGUUGAAUAACCGGUCACUCAUCCUCUAGGGUCUUUUGUUUUUUCUUGGUGUUUUUUUUUCCAUUCAGUCACUAUCAGAGUUCAUUGCUGUUGAGCAUUCUAAAGUAAUUUUGAAAUAAACAUGGUUCAAACUAAGCUGCUCUGAAUGAUACCGCAUUCUGAAACAUUAAAAAAAACCAAAGAAAACAACUUCCUUCCACAAUCGUGUGAACGGUCACAAUCUUUUCUUUCUAAUAUUUUAAUUAAUGACUACAGAACAACAAAACAAAAUUUCUUUUACAGAAUUGAAUUUAAAUACCUUUAAAAAUCUCUAAAAUAUUCAAGGAUGGCAAACCUAUGGUACAUGAACCGAAUCAAGGCCAUUAGAAAGACUCCUACACCUCACUGUUCUCUUUUCUCAGUAGCAUUGGAGGAAGACAAACUAUGUCAUAUAGAAAAGAAAUCUGCACACAAUGGUCAGUUUGACAAGGUGUGUAGUGCCACAUCCUGGCUUUAGGUACCUGAGGUAACUGUUUGGCUAUUUUAAUUUCUAAAUAAAAUCCUCCAAAAGUCUGCUUACAUAACAGGUUUGUGUGGAUCAGAAUGCUAUUUUUCAUAAAUAUCUCUCUUGGUGUUGUUCUCAAAUUUAAAUUAGAAGAGAUUAAAACAGAGUAUGUCUAAUUUUCAGGGAAAAACACAAACAAACAAACAAACAAACGCAAAAACUUAGACUGCUCUUUCCAGGGUUUUUAAUGAAAAUUUGUGGAAAACAUUUUCCUUAAAACUUUUCUCAUUGAAAUAGGAACCAAAGUGUUUUCAACACCACCAAGCCUGACAGAGUUCAAGAAGCAUUUGGACAAUGCUCUCAGGCACAUGGUGUGAACCUUGGGGCUGUCCUACGCAGGGCCAGGAUUUGGACUUGAUGAUCCUGAUGAGUCCUUUCCAACUCAGGACACCCUGUGGUUCUAUGAAAUUGUCCACAUGCAUGCCUAUCAGCAAGCUGGAGUCACAUCAGAGGGUUUGCCCUUGUGGGAAAGUAUAGGAAAGUUGAUUUUUUUGGGUUUUUUUUUGGUUGGUUGGUUGGUUUUGGUUUUGUUAUUUGUUUUUUUUUUUUUCCUAAUAUUAAACAUUAUUUUCAAGAUAUAUUAAAAAAAGGUACACUUCUAACAGCAAAUAUUGGGAAAUUAAUGCAUUUUUGUGUUAUGGAAGAAGCAAGUUGGCAAGAGUUAUGCGACUGAGAAAAGGUGAUGCAGCUGGGCCAGCUGAAAGUUUUGCUUCUGGGAAAAGAGACUUCUGAGUUUAUCUUGUUCUUAAUGGAUAAUUUAUCUUAAUGCAAGUUUUUUCAAGUGCUUUCCAACAGACAUUGUCAUUCCUGAAAAUUACAGUCAAGAAAAUUGCUGCUUUAACAAUUCAGCCAAUUUCUGAAGUCUUCUAGUGAUUGAGGUACCUGCGGAUUGACUACUGAUCACUCCAGCUCUUACAGUUUAAUGCAUCUGUGGCCAUAAUGACCCUACAGAGAUAUUGCUCCAGGUCCUCUCGCAGUGUCAGCAUUGAGAGAGAGGUGACUCAGCAACCAAGUCAAAAGACACAAUCCACCGUGCUCUUGAUGGAUGUUUUGCCUUUCAUAGUGUCUAGUGCUGUGCUGGAGAUGAAGCUGUGUUCCUGGGAUAUUUAAGGCAAAGUCAGCUACACUCAAUUUAUCAGAGAGUUCACCCAAAGACUUAAAAUAAUACAGACUGAUAGAGAUUUAGGGGAGACUGCAUGAAAAUAUAUCUGGGAUUUAUAUACUUGCUAAGGAUGCAAAACCAUCUGCCUAGGUCACCUUAGGGUACACCUGGGAAAAGCUUGGUUAACUUCCUAAGCCAGAAAACAUGCCAAAAAAACCCCAAAUUGUUGAAGGCUCUGGAACAUGACUAUUUAAGGAGGUGAUAGCUAGGUAGCAAAGUGGGUGCAAUUUCUUUGGCCCCUCUUCACUCUUUCCACAAGAAAUCUCCUAGUCUCUUUACAGAAAGUUCUGAUAAUAAUGCAGAUAAAAGCCAAUACCAACUCCUUGUGCCUUUCACCUACAGUUUGCAGAAGUGGUGAAGAAAUAAAGGAAUUAAGUUUUACUUAUAUUUAGCAGCUUUUAACAGAGGUGCAAUGAAUCAUCAGCUGCAUUUCAGGAGAGAGUAUCUGAAGUGCAAAUACCAAGGUGCAACUUCUGACACUUCAAAUUUUAAUCAGGGCAGGAGGUGUUAUUUCUUUUAUUAUUAUUCUUCUAAGAUGUGUUGAGAUUAGAGGAAUGCUGCAUAGUAUGGUUGUUUCAGAGCUUUGCCCCAAGGUCUUGCUUCUCAGUUAAAAUCUUUUUAAGUCUCCUUUGCCAUUAACAGGAACUCUAAGUCCAGUAUUAAAACAAUGAAAAAGUCACUAAAAUGUUUCUAGAGGAAUAAUAAAGUUUAACUAGGAAGGUAUGAACAUAUCUUUGUCUAAGGUAGCCUCUUCCAAAGUCUUCAAAAUUCUUGAAAGAAUGAAAACUCUCAUUACCAUCACCAUUUGCCCAAAGCCACCUAACUCAGUAAUUACAAGUAAUGCUCAUUGCAUUUAUAUAGAGCUAACACCAACACUCAGCGUGAUUUCAGUACAAAGUGCAGCAAAGAUUCUCCUUUUCUAAAAGUGCUUGUUGGUUGUAGUGCUGAUUCAGCUUCUCUAAUUCUAUACGUUGAGCACAUACAGUCAGCGCUUAUUUGGGAUAACUUAAUGUUAAAACAGUUACAAGGGAUAGAAAGCAAAAACUGCAGGAUUCCCACCAGGAGUAAUUUAGGGUUUUUUGUGCAGACUCCUAAGGGUAUAAAUUGACACUCAGCUCCAGUUUCUGUAAAAUAGCAUCCAAUGGUCAAUAUGCUGAAAAAAAUGCCAGCAUACUACAUUAGUUUCUGAAAUCUGUACUUGAUGUCAUGUCGUAAGGUAAAUUCAGAAUAGAAUUUGUAGAUCACACUUGUUUUCAGUUAAUUGCACUAAUGACUGCUGACAAUAUGAUAUUAAACAGUAGUAUGAAUGUUACAUAAGUAGCUGUUCGAGGACAUUUGUGAUCUUUUCCUAUGUCUACACAAGACAAACUAGACUAAACACACUGACUUUCUUUUUUUCUUUUCAAAACUUCUGUUUUGAGAAAAUAUCUAUAAAAUAAUUUCAUAGAAUCAUACAAUAUCCUGAAUUGGAAAGGACAACCUAGGAUCAUUGAAAACCAACUCCUGCUCUGCACAGGACACCCCAAGAGUCCUACCAUGUGCCUGAGAGCAUUGUCCAAAUGCUUCUUGAACUCUGUCAGGCUGGCGCUGUGACCACUUCCCUGAGAAGCCUAUUCCAGUGCCCAACCACCCAAGGGUCAGGAACCUUUUUCUAAUAUCCAACCUAAUCCUACCCUGACUCAGGGUUCCUAGUGUUCCUUCGAGUCCUGUCAUGAGUCAAAAAAAGGAAAGAGAUUGGUGUGGGCCCCUCCACUUCUUUUCAUGAAGAACUUGGAGACCCUGAUGAGGUCUCUGCUCUGUCUCCUCUUUCCCAGGCUGAACAGACCAACUGGCCCCACCUGCUCCUUGUAUUGCUCACUCUCUGUAAACUCUUUGAGAGAACAAAAUCCUGUAUUUAACAGAAGUACCUUUUGUGUGUCUGUAAACAACAUGAAGCAUCUGUAUCAUCAUCUACAUGGCAAUAAAAGAAAAGUAACUUUUCAUUCAGGUGUAACAACAUCAACUUUUUCUAUUAUCAUCAGAUAAGUAUUGAAAAGUUUCCCACAGAUGUAGGAUUUCCUAUAUAGGUUUAACUAAUGGAGGAUUACAAUACACAAAAGUCAUUGUAUUAAUGAUGUAAUUGAGCACCUCCCAACUAAAGCAGUGCCCAGAGGUAUUUCUCACUCAUUUCUGCAAAUUUUAUACCAAUGUUGUGACCAUUUCCAUCACAUGGUAACUAUGAGACUCAUCUGGCUACUGUGUUUCAGUACUGUGUGUCCCACAUGAAAGAUGCUGGAAUAACUUCAGUGGUGGUCCAAAAAGAUGAUGAGUGGCUCAGAGCACACAAUAUAGAGAGGUUGAGAGAGGAGUUUGAACAGCCUGGAGAAAACAUAAUUCACUGGACAAAAAGUAUAACAGGGGUGGUCAAGCACUGGAACGGGUCACCUGGAGAGGGUGUGAAGUCUCCUUCCUUGGAGAUAUUCAGCACUGCACUGGACAAGGCUUUGGACAACCUCAUCUAACUUUAACAGAAUGUAAUUUCAGAACUCAAAGUUGUUUCUACUUUGGGUGGGCAUUGCACCAGACAACCUCCAGAGAUCCAAUUCAACCUAAAUUUUUAUACAAUGCUAGGAUUUUUCAGAAAAUAAGAAUUUAAUAUUUCCUCAUAGCCUGAAGGACUAUACUUGGUAAUUUUUUGACUUUUUUAAAAAAGGGAAAUGUUAUAAAAUCAAUUCAUCAGCCUAGGGGAAAAAAAAUCUUUGUCAGUGGAAUUCAAACCCUGAAAAUAUUUCAAACUUUCACACAUUACCCCUUCUUUUCUUUAAAGAUACAUUUCUACAACAGUAUCACUGGGAAUGCUAUUUUCAUAGCACAGAAAAAUAUUCAUAAAACCCAAAAAUUUUUAUGAUAAAAUAAUUACAGAGGAAAAAAUGAAAGUCUCUUCACUUUAGGUGUUUUUCUGAGUCACUGGAAAUACUGGUAUUCAAAUUUUUCAACAGUCCUGCCAAAAUGAGGAAACAAUGAAAGAUUAUUAUUUGUAUAAAUUAUAUCUUGCUAGGCUUAAUAUAAAAUGUAAACCCAAGAAAAGGACUCGAGCAGAAAGAGAUGCUUUUAUGAAUUAAGUUUUACAGAUUGUUAUAACAGUCAGUGAACUCAAUUUCUGAACACAAGAGCAAAUUAAUGAAAAUGUAGGUCUUGCACCAUUGCUUUUCAGAGAAGCCAAGACCUCCUCAGAGAAACAGUGACAAGUCCUAUAUUUGUAAAGCAGAUGAAGCACUUCCUUUAACUCCCAGAUGUCCUGAAUCCAGAUUUCUAUCCAUGAACUUGUGUAGAAGGAAGAGUGUUAUCAUGACCUACAGAAGCUCUUUUCGUUUGUUGGCCAGUGCCCAUUGUAUGCUGAAGGCUGUUCAGCACAGCCUUUAGGUGUUGGGGUCUUUCAGACAUAGAUGGGGACUUGUACUACACCAGUUCUGAUGGGCGGUACAGAGCCUGGCAUGCCAGGCAGCAGUUGCUGACUCCUGGGAAAGAGUCAGCUGCAAGCAGAAAAUAUCAGCAGCUGCAAAUAGAAAAUGAAACUACUGACGGGAAAGAAAAAGAGAAGAGCCUUAAUGCAAUAUCCACGGAGCUGCAAUCUAAGGUUACAAAGGCUACCCUCCUUCGUGCAAGCAACAUUUUAAUGUACACCUGAUGGUGGAAGAAAACCAAAAGCCGUCUGAACCCCUGGACACUGAGCUUGGCGUGACAUUAACGAUGUGACAUUUAUGGAGCACCUCCAGAAACAUCGGCCAGAUGAGUGCACAGUGCAAUAUAGGAAUGAUCUUGGGAAAAAGCCCAAGCUGCAGGGAGAAGAAGAGGAUGAUAGCAGUCCUGGCAUCAUCAGGACUCCCUCCAUGAUUUCCCAACACUGGACAAAUCCAUGUCUGAGGUGGUGACAUUUAGCUCUGCCUGCCACAAAGCUCUUAUUGAGUUUCCAUGCAUUCAGUCUGCUGUCAGUGCAACAUCUGGAGCUCUGCCAUGUGGGAAGGAGCCCAUUGCAGUGGGAAAAUAAUUUCCAUAUCUCCAGAAGCCAGCAUUUCCCAUGCCACAGGGAAGUACAUUAGCCAUAUCUGUUCCAUUCAUUAUUCUAAAUAAUGCAGAAAUGAAAGGAGCUUAAUACCCAGAAUCCCUUUUUUGCAAUUACUGCCAUUUUAAUUGCCCAGUAUAAGCCAUUUUCUCUAGGUUGCUGCGGCCAAAGAAUAUGAAAAAAUAAUAUGUAAAGUAAAUAUUUCUGUUUAAUAUGUGUUUAAAUUAGAAAAAAAUCCUCAUCUAAAAUAGUGUAACAAGUCAGUAAUGGCAAAAACAGUGACGAAAAGAAAACAGCAUUUACUGAUGUUUUGUUUCAUUGUCUUUUCCUGCAGCCAUUAUGAAUAUAAAUCCUCCUUUAAAAGGAAUAAAAAAAUCUUAAAUCAUCAUCUAUUUCCAUUAGCUGGGGAAAUCAGAAAAAAAAUUAAAUUGCUAUGGAAUAAAAGGGUCCAGAUUCAAAGCAGAAUAUUAAGGAAUAGGGUAAAGAUGAACUCUGAGUUUUGUGUUUUAAUAUAUUCACUGUAAUUUAGGAAAAAAAAAAACUUUAUUUGAAAUGUUGUAAAUCAAAUGCA